GGCCCUGCAUCCCAUCUUUUGCAUACUGCUGCCACACGACCUGCUCCUGAACCAACAACUGCUGUUUCUUCUCUAUUUCUGCCAUCUGAACAUAGGAAGGUGGAGGAAUACUAAGCGAUGCUGCGAACGGAUCCCCUCCGAUGGUCUGCAUGGUACCAUCAGGUGCAGGAAGGGCGAGAACCGGAGCGGCGCCACGCCCGGGCACAGGCAAGGCCACACUGCUUGAGCUCCCUCCACUCAUCUGGGCAUUCACUUGCUGCUUCACAGCUCCC
This 272-nucleotide long non-coding RNA is filed under the name Musa acuminata (dwarf banana). Its description in RNAcentral is "long non-coding RNA (MACU_LNC004998)". Lineage: Eukaryota; Viridiplantae; Streptophyta; Magnoliopsida; Zingiberales; Musaceae. The record is from RNAcentral.